This is a long non-coding RNA of Oncorhynchus gorbuscha (pink salmon), 293 nucleotides long. RefSeq lists it as uncharacterized. The transcript has 2 exons. The record is from RefSeq and is a predicted model, not a curated record. NCBI's taxonomy places the organism in Eukaryota, Metazoa, Chordata, Actinopteri, Salmoniformes, Salmonidae.
GGGAGGACUGGGAGGACCGAAGAAAGGAGGAGUGGGAGGACCGAAGAAAGGAGCUGACGGACAGGAGACGAAGGGAGAUAAAGGACAGAAGUCGUCUGAUGGAGUCCAGUCUAAGGUCCAGGGGACGAGGAAAAAGAAGAAAGGAAAGAAGAACUGAGAAGACCGAUGGAGAUGGGAAGACGGGCAGAUGAGAGGAAGGAGAAGACCGAUGUGUAUGAUAAUACUGUUCUGUUGCUUUCAGAUACGUGUGAUUUUGUAUUUCUUGGACAUUAUAAUAAAAACAAUUGAUUUAA